Molecule: ribosomal RNA, 465 nt
Filed under: uncultured Klebsiella sp.
Lineage: Bacteria; Pseudomonadati; Pseudomonadota; Gammaproteobacteria; Enterobacterales; Enterobacteriaceae
Description: bacterial SSU rRNA
Rfam family: Bacterial small subunit ribosomal RNA
Source: RNAcentral
CCUACGGGGGGCUGCAGUGGGGAAUAUUGCACAAUGGGCGCAAGCCUGAUGCAGCCAUGCCGCGUGUGUGAAGAAGGCCUUCGGGUUGUAAAGCACUUUCAGCGGGGAGGAAGGCGGUGAGGUUAAUAACCUCAUCGAUUGACGUUACCCGCAGAAGAAGCACCGGCUAACUCCGUGCCAGCAGCCGCGGUAAUACGGAGGGUGCAAGCGUUAAUCGGAAUUACUGGGCGUAAAGCGCACGCAGGCGGUCUGUCAAGUCGGAUGUGAAAUCCCCGGGCUCAACCUGGGAACUGCAUUCGGAACUGGCAGGCUAGAGUCUUGUAGAGGGGGGUAGAAUUCCAGGUGUAGCGGUGAAAUGCGUAGAGAUCUGGAGGAAUACCGGUGGCGAAGGCGGCCCCCUGGACAAAGACUGACGCUCAGGUGCGAAAGCGUGGGGAGCAAACAGGAUUAGAUACCCCUGUAGUC